UACGGAGGGUGCAAGCGUUAUCCGGAUUCACUGGGUUUAAAGGGUGCGUAGGUGGGCAAGUAAGUCAGUGGUGAAAUCUCCGGGCUUAACCCGGAAACUGCCAUUGAUACUAUUUGUCUUGAAUACUGUGGAGGUCAGCGGAAUAUGUCAUGUAGCGGUGAAAUGCUUAGGUAUGACAUAGAACACCAAUUGCGAAGGCAGCUGGCUACACAAAUAUUGACACUGAGGCACGAAAGCGUGGGGAUCAAACAGG
Molecule: ribosomal RNA, 253 nt
Filed under: uncultured bacterium
Lineage: Bacteria
Description: partial 16S ribosomal RNA
Rfam family: Bacterial small subunit ribosomal RNA
Source: RNAcentral